RNAcentral lists this ribosomal RNA (479 nucleotides) under uncultured bacterium. RNAcentral describes it as "partial 16S ribosomal RNA". It matches the Rfam family "Bacterial small subunit ribosomal RNA", at positions 28 to 507 of the family's 1533-position model. The record is from RNAcentral.
GAUGAACGCUAGCGGCAGGCCUAACACAUGCAAGUCGAGGGAGAGGUUGCCUUCGGGUAACCAAAACCGGCGCACGGGUGCGUAACGCGUAUACAAUCUGCCUUUCACAUAGGGAUAGCCCGAAGAAGUUUGGAUUAAUACCUAAUGGUAUAUAAGAGCGGCAUCGUUUUUAUAUUAAAGCUACGGUGGUGAAAGAUGAGUAUGCGUUCUAUUAGCUAGUUGGAGAGGUAACGGCUCCCCAAGGCGACGAAAGAUAGGGGUUCUGAGAGGGAUGUCCCCCCACUGGUACUGAGAUACGGACCAGACUCCUACGGGAGGCAGCAGUGAGGAAUAUUGGACAAUGGUCGGAAGACUGAUCCAGCCAUGCCGCGUGCAGGAUGAAGGUCCUAUGGAUUGUAAACUGCUUUUGUAAGGGAAGAAUAAGGAGUACGUGUACUUUGAUGACGGUACCUUACGAAUAAGCAUCGGCUAACUCCGUG